Non-coding RNA from Triticum aestivum (bread wheat), 124 nucleotides. The record is from Rfam. Lineage: Eukaryota; Viridiplantae; Streptophyta; Magnoliopsida; Poales; Poaceae.
UAUGUACUCCCUCCGUCCGAAAAAGCUUGUCCCAAACUUGUCCCUCAAAUGGAUGUAUCUAGCACUAACUUGAUGCUAGAUACAUUCAUUUGAGGGACAAGUUUCCGGACGGAGGGAGUAGUAA